CAGUCGAGCGGAUGAGUGGAGCUUGCUCCAUGAUUCAGCGGCGGACGGGUGAGUAAUGCCUAGGAAUCUGCCUGGUAGUGGGGGACAACGUUUCGAAAGGAACGCUAAUACCGCAUACGUCCUACGGGAGAAAGUGGGGGAUCUUCGGGCCUCGCGCUAUCAGAUGAGCCUAGGUCGGAUUAGCUAGUUGGUGAGGUAAAGGCUCACCAAGGCGACGAUCCGUAACUGGUCUGAGAGGAUGAUCAGUCACACUGGAACUGAGACACGGUCCAGACUCCUACGGGAGGCAGCAGUGGGGAAUAUUGGACAAUGGGCGAAAGCCUGAUCCAGCCAUGCCGCGUGUGUGAAGAAGGUCUUCGGAUUGUAAAGCACUUUAAGUUGGGAGGAAGGGCAGUAAGUUAAUACCUUGCUGUUUUGACGUUACCGACAGAAUAAGCACCGGCUAACUUCGUGCCAGCAGCCGCGGUAAUACGAAGGGUGCAAGCGUUAAUCGGAAUUACUGGGCGUAAAGCGCGCGUAGGUGGUUCGUUAAGUUGGAUGUGAAAGCCCCGGGCUCAACCUGGGAACUGCAUCCAAAACUGGCGAGCUAGAGUAUGGCAGAGGGUGGUGGAAUUUCCUGUGUAGCGGUGAAAUGCGUAGAUAUAGGAAGGAACACCAGUGGCGAAGGCGACCACCUGGGCUAAUACUGACACUGAGGUGCG
Molecule: ribosomal RNA, 701 nt
Filed under: Stutzerimonas stutzeri
Lineage: Bacteria; Pseudomonadati; Pseudomonadota; Gammaproteobacteria; Pseudomonadales; Pseudomonadaceae
Description: bacterial SSU rRNA
Rfam family: Bacterial small subunit ribosomal RNA
Source: RNAcentral